Molecule: non-coding RNA, 72 nt
Organism: Podarcis lilfordi (Lilford's wall lizard)
Lineage: Eukaryota; Metazoa; Chordata; Lepidosauria; Squamata; Lacertidae
Source: the annotation of a GenBank genome assembly
UCCGAUAGCUCAGUUGGUAGAGAAUGAGAUUCUUGAUCACAGGGCCAUGGGUUCAAAUCCUACAUCGGGCAA